GUAGGUGAACCUGCGGAAGGAUCAUUAACGAAUGUAUGUCUGCUUUGUGAACUGGGUGGGAUGUAGAGGGGGAUGUUAAAGGGGUGGCUUUAUUUAACGCUGUGGCUUUAUUUAACGCUGUGGCUUUAAUUAACAAUGUGGCUUUAGAUAAGGCUUUGGUUAAAAGCUCUGGCUUUAAUUAAACAACCUUUAUUUAAACACUUAAUUAAACAACCUUUAAUAUACCAUCUCUCCCACAACGUGUAAUAAC
RNAcentral lists this unclassified non-coding RNA (250 nucleotides) under plant metagenome. Its description in RNAcentral is "partial contains small subunit ribosomal RNA, internal transcribed spacer 1, and 5.8S ribosomal RNA". The record is from RNAcentral.